ACGAUAGACGGAGCUAGUUGCAGAC
RNAcentral lists this unclassified non-coding RNA (25 nucleotides) under Mus musculus (house mouse). RNAcentral's name for it is "oocyte_clustered_small_RNA5165". The record is from RNAcentral. Lineage: Eukaryota; Metazoa; Chordata; Mammalia; Rodentia; Muridae.